GCACCAACAGAUUUGGGACCAGGCUACAGUUUCCUCACUUUAUAAAACACGAAGAAGAGUGCAGCUCAACUCCACAACAAAUCACCAACCGAAAACAACCUCAAGACGUGUACCAUAAGAAACACUUUACUUUGACUGCAGUACAAUCCAUAGUGCUUGAGCAUCUAGAUCAGGGAUCUCCAGCCCUGUUCCUGGAGUACAUACCUUCCUGUAGGUUUACACUCCAACCCUGUUCCUGGAGGUUUUAACUCCAACCCUGUUCCUGGAGAGAUACCCCUCCUGUAGGUUUUAACUCCAACCCUGUUCCUGGAGAGAUACCCCUCCUGUAGGUUUUAACUCCAACCCUGUUCCUGGAGAGAUACCCCUCCUGGAGGUUUUAACUCCAACCCUGUUCCUGGAGAGAUACCCUCCUGUAGGUUUUAACUCCAACCCUGUUCCUGGAGAGAUACCCUCCUGUAGGUUUUAACUCCAGCCCUGUUCCUGGAG
This 486-nucleotide long non-coding RNA is filed under the name Salmo salar (Atlantic salmon). RNAcentral describes it as "lncRNA (ENSSSAG00000103767.1)". Lineage: Eukaryota; Metazoa; Chordata; Actinopteri; Salmoniformes; Salmonidae. The record is from RNAcentral.